GACGAACGCUGGCGGCGUGCCUAAUACAUGCAAGUCGAACGCAUUUUCUUUCACCGUAGCUUGCUACACCGAAAGAAAAUGAGUGGCGAACGGGUGAGUAACACGUGGGUAACCUGCCCAUCAGCGGGGGAUAACACUUGGAAACAGGUGCUAAUACCGCAUAAUUCCAUUUACCGCAUGGUAAAUGGAUGAAAGGCGCUUUUGCGUCACUGAUGGAUGGACCCGCGGUGCAUUAGCUAGUUGGUGGGGUAACGGCCUACCAAGGCUGCGAUGCAUAGCCGACCUGAGAGGGUGAUCGGCCACACUGGGACUGGGACACGGCCCAGACUCCUACGGGAGGCAGCAGUAGGGAAUCUUCGGCAAUGGACGCAAGUCUGACCGAGCAACGCCGCGUGAUUGAAGAAGGUUUUCGGAUCGUAAAACUCUGUUGUUAGAGAAGAACAAGGAUGAGAGUGGAAAGUUCAUCCCUUGACGGUAUCUAACCAGAAAGCCACGGCUAACUACGUG
Molecule: ribosomal RNA, 507 nt
Filed under: uncultured bacterium
Lineage: Bacteria
Description: partial 16S ribosomal RNA
Rfam family: Bacterial small subunit ribosomal RNA
Source: RNAcentral